Molecule: ribosomal RNA, 301 nt
Filed under: uncultured bacterium
Lineage: Bacteria
Description: partial 16S ribosomal RNA
Rfam family: Bacterial small subunit ribosomal RNA
Source: RNAcentral
CAGUAGCCACGGGAAUACGAAGGGUGCAAGCGUUAAUCGGAAUUACUGGGCGUAAAGCGUGCGUAGGCGGUUUGUUAAGUCUGCUGUGAAAUCCCCGGGCUCAACCUGGGAAUGGCAGUGGAUACUGGCAAGCUAGAGUGUGUCAGAGGAUGGUGGAAUUCCCGGUGUAGCGGUGAAAUGCGUAGAGAUCGGGAGGAACAUCAGUGACGAAGGCGGCCAUCUGGGACAACACUGACGCUGAGGCACGAAAGCGUGGGGAGCAAACAGGAUUAGAUACCCCGGUAGUCCCUGUCUCUUAUAC